This 507-nucleotide ribosomal RNA is filed under the name uncultured bacterium. Its description in RNAcentral is "bacterial SSU rRNA". It matches the Rfam family "Bacterial small subunit ribosomal RNA", at positions 28 to 498 of the family's 1533-position model. The record is from RNAcentral.
GAUAAACGCUGGCGGCGCACAUAAGACAUGCAAGUCGAACGGAAGUCGUUGUAAUGAAAUAGAAACGGACAGAGAACUUGUUCGAAGAAAGUGGAAGUAGACUUACAACAAUGGCUUUAGUGGCGGACUGGUGAGUAACGCGUAAGGAACCUGCCUUCUAGAGGGGAAUAACAAUGAGAAAUCAUUGCUAAUACCGCAUAUGCCGAGAGAAUCACAUGGUACAAUCGGGAAAAGAGUAAUCUGCUAGAAGAUGGCCUUGCGUCUGAUUAGAUAGUUGGUGGGGUAACGGCCUACCAAGUCGACGAUCAGUAGCCGGACUGAGAGGUUGAACGGCCACAUUGGGACUGAGAUACGGCCCAGACUCCUACGGGAGGCAGCAGUCGGGAAUAUUGCGCAAUGGAGGAAACUCUGACGCAGUGACGCCGCGUAUAGGAAGAAGGUUUUCGGAUUGUAAACUAUUGUCGUUAGGGAAGAGAAAGGACAGUACCUAAGGAGGAAGCUCCGGCU